RNAcentral lists this ribosomal RNA (497 nucleotides) under uncultured bacterium. RNAcentral's name for it is "partial 16S ribosomal RNA". It matches the Rfam family "Bacterial small subunit ribosomal RNA", at positions 28 to 507 of the family's 1533-position model. The record is from RNAcentral.
GAUGAACGCUGGCGGCGUGCCUAAUACAUGCAAGUCGAGCGAACAGAUGAGGAGCUUGCUCCUCUGACGUUAGCGGCGGACGGGUGAGUAACACGUGGAUAACCUACCUAUAAGACUGGGAUAACUUCGGGAAACCGGAGCUAAAACCGGAUAAUAUAUUGAACCGCAUGGUUCAAUAGUGAAAGACGGUUUUGCUGUCACUUAUAGAUGGAUCCGCGCCGCAUUAGCUAGUUGGUAAGGUAACGGCUUACCAAGGCAACGAUGCGUAGCCGACCUGAGAGGGUGACCGGCCACACUGGAACUGAGACACGGUCCAGACUCCUACGGGAGGCAGCAGUAGGGAAUCUUCCGCAAUGGGCGAAAGCCUGACGGAGCAACGCCGCGUGAGUGAUGAAGGUCUUCGGAUCGUAAAACUCUGUUAUUAGGGAAGAACAAAUGUGUAAGUAACUAUGCACGUCUUGACGGUACCUAAUCAGAAAGCCACGGCUAACUACGUG